AAAUGCGAUAAGUAGUGUGAAUUGCAGAAUUCAGUGAAUCAUCGAAUCUUUGAACGCACAUUGCGCCCUUUGGUAUUCCAAAGGGCAUGCCUGUUCGAGCGUCAUUUGUAACCUCAAGCUUUGCUUGGUGUUGGGCGUCUUGUCUCUAGCUUUGCUGGAGACUCGCCUUAAAGUAAUUGGCAGCCGGCCUACUGGUUUCGGAGCGCAGCACAAGUCGCACUCUCUAUCAGCAAAGGUCUAGCAUCCAUUAAGCCUUUUUUUCAACUUUUGACCUCGGAUCAGGUAGGGAUACCCGCUGAACUUAAGC
This 307-nucleotide unclassified non-coding RNA is filed under the name plant metagenome. RNAcentral describes it as "partial contains 5.8S ribosomal RNA, internal transcribed spacer 2, and large subunit ribosomal RNA". The stretch from base 1 to 104 matches the Rfam family "5.8S ribosomal RNA", at positions 51 to 154 of the family's 154-position model. The record is from RNAcentral.